RNAcentral lists this unclassified non-coding RNA (266 nucleotides) under Cladophialophora sp. RNAcentral describes it as "partial contains 5.8S ribosomal RNA, internal transcribed spacer 2, and large subunit ribosomal RNA". The stretch from base 1 to 52 matches the Rfam family "5.8S ribosomal RNA", at positions 103 to 154 of the family's 154-position model. The record is from RNAcentral. Lineage: Eukaryota; Fungi; Ascomycota; Eurotiomycetes; Chaetothyriales; Herpotrichiellaceae. RNAcentral also lists the same sequence under 2 other names.
AACGCACAUUGCGCCCUUUGGUAUUCCGAAGGGCAUGCCUGUUCGAGCGUCAUUAUCACCCCUCAAGCCCUGUGCUUGGUGUUGGAUGGCCGGUCGAGCGAUCGACCCCUCCUAAAGACAAUGACGGCGGCCUGUGGUUCCCCCGGUACACUGAGCUUUUAACUGAGCACGUAUCGGACAAGGGCACCCGGGACCCGGUCCUCUCCUUUAACUAGGAAACUUCUAAGGUUGACCUCGGAUCAGGUAGGAAUACGCGCUGAACUUAA